GGCUCUUUUCUUGGCCUUACCCUCCCAUAAAAACAAACUAGUUAUGGUACAGCUAAGUACAUACAUUAAAUUUACUGGAAUGCUCUGAGUUCAACGGCUUAAGAGGUUCUUUCCAGGUUUUUUAGAUCGGAGAGCAGACGUCUGAACAC
Sphaeramia orbicularis (orbiculate cardinalfish) is the source of this 149-nucleotide long non-coding RNA. RefSeq lists it as uncharacterized. Lineage: Eukaryota; Metazoa; Chordata; Actinopteri; Kurtiformes; Apogonidae. The transcript has 4 exons. The record is from RefSeq and is a predicted model, not a curated record.